Molecule: ribosomal RNA, 392 nt
Filed under: uncultured eukaryote
Lineage: Eukaryota
Description: partial 18S ribosomal RNA
Rfam family: Eukaryotic small subunit ribosomal RNA
Source: RNAcentral
CAAUAGCGUAUACUAAAGUUGUUGCGAUUAAAAAGCUCGUAGUUGGAUCUCAGGCAUGGGCGCACGGUCCGCCUCGCGGCGGUCACUGUGUGUUUUGUUUCCCAUCCUACGCUUCCCGGUUAUCAGCCCAUGGUGCUCUUCACUGAGCGUUUUGGGUGGCCGGAACGUUUACUUUGAAGAAAUUAGAGUGUUCAAAGCAGGCACGUUGCCUGAAUAAUGGUGCAUGGAAUAAUGGAAUAGGACCUCGGUUCUAUUUUGCUGGUUUUCGGAACACGAGGUAAUGAUUAAGAGGGACAGACGGGGGCAUCCGUAUUGCGGUGUUAGAGGUGAAAUUCUUGGAUCAUCGCAAGACGAACAACUGCGAAAGCAUUUACCAAGCAUGUUUUCAUUAG